GUAUGAACAUGUGUCAGGACGGGUG
This 25-nucleotide non-coding RNA is filed under the name Cricetulus griseus (Chinese hamster). The record is from RNAcentral. Lineage: Eukaryota; Metazoa; Chordata; Mammalia; Rodentia; Cricetidae.